AUUGAACGCUGGCGGCAGGCCUAACACAUGCAAGUCGAGCGGUAACAGGAAGAAGCUUGCUUCUUUGCUGACGAGUGGCGGACGGGAGAGUAAUGUCUGGGAAACUGCCUGAUGGAGGGGGAUAACUACUGGAAACGGUAGCUAAUACCGCAUAACGUCGCAAGACCAAAGAGGGGGACCUUCGGGCCUCUUGCCAUCGGAUGUGCCCAGAUGGGAUUAGCUAGUUGGUGGGGUAACGGCUCACCUAGGCGACGAUCCCUAGCUGGUCUGAGAGGAUGACCAGCCACACUGGAACUGAGACACGGUCCAGACUCCUACGGGAGGCAGCAGUGGGGAAUAUUGGACAAUGGGCGCAAGCCUGAUGCAGCCAUGCCGCGUGUAUGAAGAAGGCCUUCGGGUUGUAAAGUACUUUCAGCGGGGAGGAAGGGAGUAAAGUUAAUACCUUUGCUCAUUGACGUUACCCGCAGAAGAAGCACCGGCUAACUCCGUG
This 490-nucleotide ribosomal RNA is filed under the name uncultured bacterium. RNAcentral describes it as "partial 16S ribosomal RNA". It matches the Rfam family "Bacterial small subunit ribosomal RNA", at positions 30 to 507 of the family's 1533-position model. The record is from RNAcentral.